UACAGAGGGGGCAAGCGUUGUUCGGAAUCACUGGGCUUAAAGGGCGCGUAGGCGGAUUUGCAAGUCUGCGGUGAAAUCCUCCAGCUUAACUGGAGAAGUGCCGUGGAUACUGCGAGUCUCGAGGAAGGUAGGGGCAUCUGGAACUGCCGGUGGAGCGGUGAAAUGCGUUGAUAUCGGCAGGAACUCCGGUGGCGAAGGCGAGAUGCUGGAUCUUUUCUGACGCUGAGGCGCGAAAGCCAGGGGAGCAAACGGG
Molecule: ribosomal RNA, 253 nt
Filed under: uncultured bacterium
Lineage: Bacteria
Description: partial 16S ribosomal RNA
Rfam family: Bacterial small subunit ribosomal RNA
Source: RNAcentral